Long non-coding RNA from Canis lupus familiaris (dog), 2471 nucleotides. RefSeq lists it as uncharacterized. The record is from RefSeq and is a predicted model, not a curated record. Lineage: Eukaryota; Metazoa; Chordata; Mammalia; Carnivora; Canidae. The transcript has 2 exons.
AACCAAAAAAUAUAUAUAUAAAUUGCAUAGUUUUGAACACAUCAUACUAAGUAAAAUAAGCUAAACAUUGAAGGACAAACGGGGUGUGAUUCCAUGCACCUGAGGUGCCUAGAGGAGUCCACACGCAAAGGCAGAAAGAGGAAGAGUCUAUCGUGGGGGUGGGGUGGGACAGAGCAAGUGGAUGCCAAGGAGCUUGGGCUCAACGCAGAUGUUCAUUCUCCAGCCCUCCACUCCCUGGGCAUCCUCACUCACCCAACAGUGAUGAUGGGACAGGCUAUUGCUUUGGCAAGUAAAAGAUAUGCCAGUGUGACGCCCAGGGGGUUCCCCAGCCUAGGGGUGCAAUCAAGCACUCAGGUCAGCAUCUAGGGGCAGAGAAGAUGUCGCUAAAUUUCAUAAUUUGUGUCAUUGGACCCGUCCUAGGGGCUCUCGGCAAGUGAUCAUCUUCCCCCCGGCCUGGCCCCCUGCAAGGGAUGCGUGAUCUCCAUCCGUUCCGGCUUGCCACACGCUGUGCAGGAGACCCCACAGCACCCACGCCAUUCCCUCUGAGGUCCUCGCUGCCCUGCUAGCGGGAGCCCGGCCCUGCCCCUCUCCCACCAUGACGACCCCAUGCUGCUCCAUCGAUGGCCUCUCCUCCAUCCCUCGGCCUGGCGGGGCCUCCUCAGUGUCCACCGUGGUGGUCCUUGCUGCAGUCCUGUGAGGGAGAAGCCCAGGCAUGUGCGUCUCGGGACUGACAUCCGGCGAAGAGCUCCUGCCCUGAGCAGACCAGCACAUCCUAACAAGGUCAAGUGUGCAUCAGGGUUCAGAGCUCUAGGGUAUAGUCCUCAAAUCUCCACCAGCAGCUCCCAAGCGGACCCUGCUCGAGCCUAGAGUCCUCUGUGGGAAAAGUAUGGGCAGGUCAGAAACAUUCAAUGGGGAACGGAAGAGGAAAGGCAGAAUGGUUGGUUUUCCUGUGUGUCACCUGAAAGGUACAUCAAAAGCUUGCUUUCUGUGUUACAGUAAAACUCCGCUUGUAUGAAAAAAAAUGUAUUUUCAUUUUAAACAAUGACAUGCAUUUGCAUGGCUUUAAAAUCUAGCAAAACUACCUGGCCCUACAAGAUUAACCAGACACCUCAGCUUCAAAUCCUCUCCUGCAGAGGGAAUCACUACAACCCCUGGUUUUUCCCUUCUUUGUUGCUUCCAUAUUUCUAAAUAGUGUGCUUAUAAUGUAUCAUCUCUAAUUUUGGACACCAUCAAUUGAUUCCUUCCUAGAGAAGACCAAACAUUCACCUCUUUUCCACUGCUAUGAACACCCCCCGCCCCCGCUGCCUGUCCCCACGUGUGAUGACAUCCCUGUCGGAUCAAUAUUCUGUGUAUUGACACAAUCUCAUGUGUGAGCACACAUUGCUGCAUGCCUCCUCGGCCCUGUUGGACACGGGGCUCAAUCCCACCAUCCGUGAGAUCAUGACAUGAACCGAAACCAAGAGUUGGACGCUCAACUGACUGCGCCACCCAGGUGCCCCCAACAAUCUUGAAGACAAGUGUUUCUCCCUAUGACUAUAUACUCAGCCAAACCAUCCAUCACGUAUUACCUCAGAUAAAAAAAAAUAGUUUUUUUUUUAAAUAGUUUUAAACAUUCACUUUCGACACACCAUUCCCAGGAAGUUAUCAGAGAAUAUAUUCCACCAAAAUAAAGAAACCGACCAAGAAAGGAGGUACAGGCUCCAGACAAUAAGGGAUCAUGAGCGUGGUGGACAGCAUUCCCCAGACAGGUGGAGGGAGGCCUGAGGCCGACUUUACCUGCCAGGUGCCACAGGUGCCACGUUAGUCUCCACGGAACGUCACCCCACGCCCUACCUUUCACCAUCUCAGUGACGGAUUUGGCACCUGCUCUUCCCUCUGUGGGGACGCCGAACAAGCUGCCUGCUUACCGGAUUUGGAGACUAUGUGGGGACAGACAAGAGCCAGGUGCAGCUGUGAGGACACCUGUGUGCACGGAACACAGCCCAGGACCCUCAGUGCUGCUGGAUCACCCGCGAGCAGACGCCCUAGGCUCACAAGCCUGUUUUCCCUCCCUCUUCCUCCCUCCUCCCACUUCUUCCCACCUCCUUCUCCCUCAUCCCUCUUCCUCCCUCCUCUUCCCUCCUCCUUCUCCCCUCGCCCCCCUUCCACCCUCUCCUCUCAGAUGUCCACACGCAGUGCCUUUGCCUGGGCACACCAGUGAGGGGAAAGGAUGACCUGAGCCUCACUCAGUUCACCAGAUGAGCAUUUGGGUGGGGGGUUCCCUCUGCUUGUCCUGAUGUCUGCUGCACGAUGAUCAAUACCGUCAAAACUUUCUAAUGGCAGAUAAACGGAACACUAAUGGCACUGUGGCUUUUGGGUCCAACUGAGUCUUAAGUGGCUGCCUUGGGUCUAUUUUUAAACCUUAUUAUCUGUUAUACUUAUGGAGUAAUUUUACUUUUGUGAAUUUUACAAUAAAGAAUUUGAUCCUUUCA